AUUUAUAUAGUAUAAAAAUUACAUUUAACUUCCAAUUAAAAAAUUUAAAAAUAUUUUAAUAUAAAUA
This 67-nucleotide transfer RNA is filed under the name Acropyga butteli. RNAcentral's name for it is "tRNA-Gly". Lineage: Eukaryota; Metazoa; Arthropoda; Insecta; Hymenoptera; Formicidae. The record is from RNAcentral.